Molecule: ribosomal RNA, 641 nt
Filed under: Salmonella enterica subsp. enterica serovar Newport
Lineage: Bacteria; Pseudomonadati; Pseudomonadota; Gammaproteobacteria; Enterobacterales; Enterobacteriaceae
Description: partial 23S ribosomal RNA
Rfam family: Bacterial large subunit ribosomal RNA
Source: RNAcentral
AGACCCGAAACCCGGUGAUCUAGCCAUGGGCAGGUUGAAGGUUGGGUAACACUAACUGGAGGACCGAACCGACUAAUGUUGAAAAAUUAGCGGAUGACCUGUGGCUGGGGGUGAAAGGCCAAUCAAACCGGGAGAUAGCUGGUUCUCCCCGAAAGCUAUUUAGGUAGCGCCUCGUGAAUUCAUCUCCGGGGGUAGAGCACUGUUUCGGCUAGGGGGCCAUCCCGGCUUACCAACCCGAUGCAAACUGCGAAUACCGGAGAAUGUUAUCACGGGAGACACACGGCGGGUGCUAACGUCCGUCGUGAAGAGGGAAACAACCCAGACCGCCAGCUAAGGUCCCAAAGUCAUGGUUAAGUGGGAAACGAUGUGGGAAGGCCCAGACAGCCAGGAUGUUGGCUUAGAAGCAGCCAUCAUUUAAAGAAAGCGUAAUAGCUCACUGGUCGAGUCGGCCUGCGCGGAAGAUGUAACGGGGCUAAACCAUGCACCGAAGCUGCGGCAGCGAACGUAUCACUUAAAGCGAUUCAGCGGGUUACGAUUGACGGAGCGAAGCGACGUCAAAGCGUAUACAAAGUCGAGUCGGUUUAAGGAUACGUUCGUUGGGUAGGGGAGCGUUCUGUAAGCCUGUGAAGGUGGCCUGUGAG